UCUCUCCCCGCUGCCCGCCCCGCCACCCGGGCUUGUGCGGACGUGUCUCGGGCGUGACCUUUGAGCAGCUGCGCCACCGGCUCAGCCUCGCGGCGGGGGAAACCCGAGCUCCCAACAAAACGGUUCCAUCUUUGGCUAGGCCUUUGGCACCAAAGAAGGCCCAGAGAGGUUUAACAACUUCCUCAGAAUCACACAGCUUCCAAAUGGUUGGGUUGGGUUUACAUUUAGGCGGUCUUGCUCCAGAGCCAGUGCUCCUAACCUUUGCAAGCCACGAACCUCAAGAAAGUGGAGAAGGAAACGCUGGGAAAUCUGGAAGUCAGACAUGAGAGCUAAUGCUGGCAGCUGUUGGGAUGUCCUCUUCCAGGAAUGGUGAUGAGUUUCCCUGGAUCCAGCCCUGGCUUGGCUGAGGUUUUUCUCACUGUAAGAAGAGGACAAUAGCCUAUGAUCUACAGUGCCCAUUCCAACUCAGAGAAUCUUUACAUCUGGAGAUCUAUAGCAGGGCUAUCCCUAGUGACAUGCGUGAAGAAGCUUGGAAAUGGUGCUGGGUAGGAGCUGAGUGUGCAGAAUGUGGAAAGGCAUUCUAAACCAAAGGAAGAACACGAGUAAAGAUGAUGAAGCAGGGAUAAGGCUAAAAUGAAAUUUGUGAUCUGAUCCACAUACAAGCACAGUGUAGUACAGCUGGAAUAUAGAGAAGAGCUUGAAGACUUAUGAGCAACUAUCCCGGUACUCUUGGAGGCUCUGCAACCACAGUUUGAGAAACUCCGCGUUCAAAGUUAAAAACUGUCACCUGAAUAGUUAAUAACAUCAAAGAUUGUGAAAGCAAGUAUAAAUAACACAGAGAUUAAAAUAAUGAGGCAGGAUCAGAAAAUGAUGAAGGUUUAAGAAGCAGCAUCAUCAGCGAACUGUGUUUUGAAGAUUUGAGGGAAGGGCUGACCUCAGGAUUUUAUACUAGUUGCUGACCUCCAUAACAGCAGACAAAAUUGGAAGCAAGAGUGAUUUUGGAGGAGUCACACUUAGAUGUUUCCCUUACCUAUUUCUGUUCUGGAAAUUUAAAAAUCUUACUUCUCGUGACAGUCCUACAUGAAAAAUUAAAAAUCACAAGGAUUCAUGGAUGGAAAA
This 1119-nucleotide long non-coding RNA is filed under the name Homo sapiens (human). RNAcentral's name for it is "HSALNT0317206". Lineage: Eukaryota; Metazoa; Chordata; Mammalia; Primates; Hominidae. The record is from RNAcentral.